GACGAACGCUGGCGGCGUGCUUAACACAUGCAAGUCGAACGGAAAGGCCCUGCUUUCGUGGGGUGCUCGAGUGGCGAACGGGUGAGUAACACGUGAGUAACCUGCCCUUGACUUUGGGAUAACUUCAGGAAACUGGGGCUAAUACCGGAUAGGAGCUCCCGCUGCAUGGUGGGGGUUGGAAAGUUUCGGCGGUUGGGGAUGGACUCGCGGCUUAUCAGCUUGUUGGUGGGGUAGUGGCUUACCAAGGCUUUGACGGGUAGCCGGCCUGAGAGGGUGACCGGCCACAUUGGGACUGAGAUACGGCCCAGACGCCUACGGGAGGCAGCAGUGGGGAAUAUUGCACAAUGGGCGGAAGCCUGAUGCAGCAACGCCGCGUGCGGGAUGACGGCCUUCGGGUUGUAAACCGCUUUCGCCUGUGACGAAGCGUGAGUGACGGUAAUGAGUAAAGAAGCACCGGCUAACUACGUG
RNAcentral lists this ribosomal RNA (468 nucleotides) under uncultured bacterium. RNAcentral's name for it is "partial 16S ribosomal RNA". It matches the Rfam family "Bacterial small subunit ribosomal RNA", at positions 28 to 507 of the family's 1533-position model. The record is from RNAcentral.